RNAcentral lists this ribosomal RNA (75 nucleotides) under Mycoplasma spermatophilum. RNAcentral's name for it is "partial 16S ribosomal RNA". Lineage: Bacteria; Bacillati; Mycoplasmatota; Mollicutes; Mycoplasmatales; Mycoplasmataceae. The record is from RNAcentral.
UGUGGUUUAAUUUGAAGAUACGCGUAGAACCUUACCCACUCUUGACAUCUUCUGCAAUGCUAUGGAGACAUAGCG